This 426-nucleotide long non-coding RNA is filed under the name Homo sapiens (human). RNAcentral describes it as "non-protein coding ZNF667-AS1:19". Lineage: Eukaryota; Metazoa; Chordata; Mammalia; Primates; Hominidae. The record is from RNAcentral.
GCAGUCAUCCUGCGACCUCCAGAAUCCACCGGGGUGCAGCGAGGCUGUGGAAAGUCCCACCCAGAACGUGAGUUUUAACUUCUAGUCAUGGCGAAUGAUCGCAGGAGAGCACAGACUGGACCCUGCUACGAUCUCUCUUGGAGUGGAUCAGACUGAUGAUCACCAACAACCAACUCAUUCCCGGAUAAGGAAGAAGAGAGUGUCACCUACUUCAGUGUGGUUUCAACCCUACUUCUGCAUCUUAAAGACACUGUGUACAACGUUGGACACUGUGCAGGAUGAUGCCACUUCAUCUUGGAUGCUAAUCUGCCAUGUUGACUUCUGAUUAACCCCAGGCCCAGGAAUGCCUCAAGAUUUCUACUUUACUUACUGUUGCUUGUAAUAAAAGAAAUGACAGCCACCAUAGAGGAACUAGCCAAAGUUAAU